Long non-coding RNA from Sphaeramia orbicularis (orbiculate cardinalfish), 121 nucleotides. RefSeq lists it as uncharacterized. The record is from RefSeq and is a predicted model, not a curated record. Lineage: Eukaryota; Metazoa; Chordata; Actinopteri; Kurtiformes; Apogonidae. The transcript is spliced from 3 exons.
AAUGGGGGAAAAAGUUUUGAAAUGAUUUAUCUUGGUCUAUUUUUUUUACAUCACAAAAACCUGCCAUUUUAACAAGGGUGUGUAGACUUUUUAUAUCUACUGUACAUUUCACUAAACCUGC